This 899-nucleotide ribosomal RNA is filed under the name uncultured Bacillota bacterium. RNAcentral's name for it is "bacterial SSU rRNA". It matches the Rfam family "Bacterial small subunit ribosomal RNA", at positions 58 to 933 of the family's 1533-position model. The record is from RNAcentral. Lineage: Bacteria; Bacillati; Bacillota.
CAAGUCGAACGCGAAAGCUCCCUUCGGGGGGCAAGUAGAGUGGCGCACGGGUGAGUAACACGUAGGUAAUCUACCUUCGGAUGGGGAAUAACAACCGGAAACGGUUGCUAAUACCGCAUAAUGCAGCGGCACCUAAUGGUGACAGUUGUUAAAGCGGGGGCUCGUAAGACCUCGCGUCUGAAGAGGAGCCUGCGGCAGAUUAGCUAGUUGGUAAGGUAACGGCUUACCAAGGCGAUGAUCUGUAGCCGGCCUGAGAGGGCGGUCGGCCACACUGACACUGACAUACGGGUCAGACUCCUACGGGAGGCAGCAGUCGGGAAUUUUGGGCAAUGGGCGAAAGCCUGACCCAGCAACGCCGCGUGAAGGAUGAAAUCCUUCGGGAUGUAAACUUCGCAAGAACGGGAAGAAUAAGUGAGAGUUAAUAUCUCUCGCGAUGACGGUACCGUUUGUAAGCUCCGGCUAACUCCGUGCCAGCAGCCGCGGUAAUACGGGGGGAGCAAGCGUUGUUCGGAUUUACUGGGCGUAAAGGGCGCGUAGGCGGCCACCGCAAGUCGACUGUGAAAUCUCCGGGCUUAACCCGGAAAGGUCAGCCGAUACUGCGGGGCUAGAGUGCAGAAGGGGCAACUGGAAUUCUCGGUGUAGCGGUGAAAUGCGUAGAUAUCGAGAGGAACACCUGCGGCGAAGGCGGGUUGCUGGGCUGACACUGACGCUGAGGCGCGAAAGCUAGGGGAGCGAACGGGAUUAGAUACCCCGGUAGUCCUAGCCUUAAACGAUGAAUGCUUGGUGUCUGGGGUUUUAUAGUCCCCGGGUGCCGUCGCUAACGCUUUAAGCAUUCCGCCUGGGGAGUACGGUCGCAAGACUGAAACUCAAAGGAAUUGACGGGGACCCGCACAAGCGGU